This 492-nucleotide ribosomal RNA is filed under the name uncultured bacterium. RNAcentral's name for it is "partial 16S ribosomal RNA". It matches the Rfam family "Bacterial small subunit ribosomal RNA", at positions 29 to 507 of the family's 1533-position model. The record is from RNAcentral.
AGUGAACGCUGGCGGUAGGCCUAACACAUGCAAGUCGAACGGCAGCACAGUAAGAGCUUGCUCUUACGGGUGGCGAGUGGCGGACGGGUGAGGAAUACAUCGGAAUCUACUUUUUCGUGGGGGAUAACGUAGGGAAACUUACGCUAAUACCGCAUACGACCUACGGGUGAAAGCAGGGGAUCUUCGGACCUUGCGCGAUUGAAUUAGCCGAUGUCGGAUUAGCUAGUUGGCGGGGUAAAGGCCCACCAAGGUGACGAUCCGUAGCUGGUCUGAGAGGAUGAUCAGCCACACUGGAACUGAGACACGGUCCAGACUCCUACGGGAGGCAGCAGUGGGGAAUAUUGGACAAUGGGCGCAAGCCUGAUCCAGCCAUACCGCGUGGGUGAAGAAGGCCUUCGGGUUGUAAAGCCCUUUUGUUGGGAAAGAAAAGCAGCAGGUUAAUACCCCGCUGUUCUGACGGUACCCAAAGAAUAAGCACCGGCUAACUUCGUG